RNAcentral lists this ribosomal RNA (660 nucleotides) under uncultured bacterium. RNAcentral's name for it is "bacterial SSU rRNA". It matches the Rfam family "Bacterial small subunit ribosomal RNA", at positions 94 to 788 of the family's 1533-position model. The record is from RNAcentral.
AGUGGCGGACGGGUGAGUAACGCGUGAGAAUCUGCCUUGGGCUCGGGGACAACCACUGGAAACGGUGGCUAAUACCGGAUAAGCCGAUUGGUGAAAGAUUUAUUGCCCGAAGAGGAGCUCGCGUCUGAUUAGCUAGUUGGUGAGGUAAGAGCUCACCAAGGCAGCGAUCAGUAGCUGGUCUGAGAGGACGAUCAGCCACACUGGGACUGAGACACGGCCCAGACUCCUACGGGAGGCAGCAGUGGGGAAUUUUCCGCAAUGGGCGAAAGCCUGACGGAGCAAGACCGCGUGAGGGAGGAAGGCUCUUGGGUUGUAAACCUCUUUUCUCAGGGAAGAAGCUCUGACGGUACCUGAGGAAUCAGCCUCGGCUAACUCCGUGCCAGCAGCCGCGGUAAUACGGAGGAGGCAAGCGUUAUCCGGAAUUAUUGGGCGUAAAGCGUCCGCAGGUGGCGAUUCAAGUCUGCUGUCAAAGCACGGGGCUUAACUCCGUAAAGGCAGUGGAAACUGAAUAGCUAGAGUGCCGUAGGGGUAGAGGGAAUUCCCGGUGUAGCGGUGAAAUGCGUAGAGAUCGGGAAGAACAUCGGUGGCGAAAGCGCUCUACUGGACGGCAACUGACACUCAGGGACGAAAGCUAGGGGAGCGAAUGGGAUUAGAUACCCC